RNAcentral lists this transfer RNA (82 nucleotides) under bacterium. RNAcentral's name for it is "tRNA-Leu". It matches the Rfam family "tRNA". Rfam says of the family: Transfer RNA (tRNA) molecules are approximately 80 nucleotides in length. The record is from RNAcentral. RNAcentral also lists the same sequence under 1 other name.
GCGGAUGUGGCGGAACUGGCAGACGCGCUAGAUUUAGGUUCUAGUGGGGCAACCCGUGCAGGUUCGAUUCCUGUCAUCCGCA